This 2426-nucleotide long non-coding RNA is filed under the name Equus caballus (horse). RNAcentral describes it as "lncRNA (ENSECAG00000058376.1)". Lineage: Eukaryota; Metazoa; Chordata; Mammalia; Perissodactyla; Equidae. The record is from RNAcentral.
UCAAUGGUGAACAUAGUCUCUGUUUUCUGUUAUCACAUUAAAAUUCCAUCACCUGUAUUUUCUCUCUAGUUCUUUCUUCAAAAGGUAGAUUUAGCUGAUUGAAAGCUAUCAAUUCUCCUGCCAAAUCAUCACCACACCAUUUCAACUCUAUCAGGACAAAUAUUCUUCAUUCACUCAAGCUAUAUAGAAAGGCAUUGUAUUCUAUUCCUUUUUCUUAUUUCUGCUUGUUUAUAUUUCAUCAGGAAACAUAACUUUCCCCUGUUUUCUUUAACAUUUCUCUAAUUGUUCCAAAUCUAAAAUCUUCAUUAUCAUAUACCACAACUUAUUCUUUUUCUCUUUGUAGGAAAGUGUCUUUUGGCUCUUUAAGGGGAUGUAAAAGGGCAAUAAAUUCAGUGGAUAUACACACAGAAAAUAAGUUUUCAAAUACAUAUUUCCUAUGAAUCUUUGUUUUCCAUAGAGAUUCCUCCUUAGUGUCACAACAGAGCCACAUUUUCCCAGAGCAGAAAAUCACAUCAGGAAUCCUCUGAUAAUGUUAUGAAGAUGCUUGUAUGUUUUAUAAACCAGACAACAAUUAUGCCGAGGAGUGGAUUUGCAGCCUGAGUCCUCCUGCUCCUUUUGGUGUAAAUUUGAUGAAAGGUUAACCUUAGGCAGGAGAGAAGGCAGAAAACCACACUAAGCACUUCUUAGCAGGCAGGGCAGAAAGAACACGGACAACAUUAGGAGCUCUUCUCAUCUGUGCCUAGCGAUGGGUGACAUAUGACACACCUGUUGAAUCUUUUGGGAACUGGAAGAAUGAAAAGUGGAUAACGUGAUGAUCAGGUGUUCAAGAGAGUGUUCAAGAGAGUUUCAGAUGUAAUCCAGGACACGCAUCAAUGCACUAGCUCCACAAAGAAUGAGCCCUGGGUGAAAAAGCACGUGUCGGAAAAACAAACGGAUGUGCAGAGGCGUUAGAGGACCUGCUGUAGACAGAAAGCUUUCCCGAAUUCAUUUAUUCGUUCUAACAGUUUUUUGGCGGAGUCUUUAUGGUAAGAAGAUAUCAUUUGGCUGAAAGAAUGAAGAAAAAAAAUAGGUGGACUCUAUGGCGUAGGUGACUGCAAAUGGAAUACCUUUCACCUCUAAUUGACUGACUGAAAUGGAGGCAGUCUCCAUAGAGACUGAAAUUCCUCCGUGAGAGAUGGCAGUUCCGCAGGGAGGCUGGAGAUGGAGGGCUGUGUCUCCAUCGCUAAGAGCUAGGGAGCAUGACAUCAGGACUGGAUUCACUGGUUUCCAUAGCUAAUCUGAGCUCUUAUCAGCCCUCUAUAUUUUAAAAUACAGUGCUCUUUAAGAGGAUUCAAUUUAAAGAAUUAUAACUUGUUUAUGUUAAUACAUUGAGGCUUGGGGAAAUUUUUGAAUCAACCUAGUUCUUAAACUACUGCUCACACUAUUAAGCUUCAUGUCAUAUCCAUCAAUAUAUAUCGGAUUUUGCUCCUUCUGUAUGAUUCUGCUCUGAAAUCCUGUGAUUAUAUUGUCACAAAUAGGUGUUAUGAUUUAAGGAUUCAUGAAUUGUGCCUCUCAGAGAUAGGUUGAAAUUUAAUAAUAAAAUAAAACAUUUUACUAAAAAAAUAAAGUAGAAAAGGAUGCCUUCCAUUAACCCCUAAACCAUCCUUUUGCUUGUGUCCUCCACCCCACGUUCUUCUGUUUCUUCAGUGACCUCACUGGCUGCUUCUCAGCUUCAAAUAUUUCUUCUCUUGAAUUCUCUUGCCCUAUAUGGCAUCUAAGUGUUGGGCCUCCUCAGAAUUAUAUUCAGGCCCUUAUCAUAUCUGCAGUGAAAGGCCUCCUAAACUGUUGGUCCCCUGUCUUCAAACUCCCAUCCAGGUCUCUCCACUCUUCAACUCUGAGGAAAGGAUUUUUUUAAAACAUAAAUGGGAUCAUGUUACUUCUCUGCUUAAAUCCCUUUCAUGGCUUUCUCUUACAGAAACAAUAAAACUCAAAACUCUUUGCAGGGCUCUGCAUUCAGUGUUCCUUAUAAUUGCCUGUCUCUCUUCUUUUCAUUCAAUAUACUGCAGCCAUGUUUUUGCUCAUUUCUCAAAGAUGCUAAAUCUGUAUCGUCUACUUCUAGCAUUCUUUACACAACUUUUCAGAUGACUAGUUCUCUUUCUCUCCCUUUGUUCUCAUUUUAUACACAAUUGAUUCAAAGACGUUUUUCCUGAUAAUCAAUUUAAAAUAUCCCCAAAUCUUAUUCCCAAUAUUAAUCCUUAUGAUACCCCCUUCAAAAACAUACUAGAAUCUGGGGCCGGCUCCGUGGCCGAGUGGUUAAGUUCGCGGGCUCCGCUGCAGCAGCCCAGGGUUCAGAUCCUAGGCACGGACAUGGCACCGCUCGUCAGGCCACGUUGAGGCGCCAUCCCACAUCCCACAAGUAGAAGGACCUGCAACUAAGAUAUACAACU